Molecule: ribosomal RNA, 838 nt
Filed under: Pristimantis aff. verecundus CRH-2015
Lineage: Eukaryota; Metazoa; Chordata; Amphibia; Anura; Strabomantidae
Description: partial 16S ribosomal RNA
Rfam family: Bacterial large subunit ribosomal RNA
Source: RNAcentral
UUUGAAAGCGUUUAAGCUUUUUUUGUUAACCCCAAUUCCUCACACCUGCUAGAUCCCUUUAAUUACACUGAGAACUUCUAUAAAAUUAUAGAACAUUUUAUGCUAAAACUAGUAACAAGAGCUUACCCCUCUCUACAAUGCAAGUAUAAGCCAGCAAGAACUCAUCACUGGCAAAUAGCAGGCCUAAAUUCAAGUAGCAACCCCCCCCCCCCGAAAACACUACCUCACCUUAACUGUUAACCUAACACUAGAGCAUUCCAAGAAAGAUUAAAAGGGGGAGAAGGAAUUCCGCAAAUAUUAGUUCCGCCUGUUUACCAAAAACAUCGCCUCUUGUGAAUCAAUAAGAGGUCUAGCCUGCCCAGUGACUCUGUUCAACGGCCGCGGUAUCCUAACCGUGCAAAGGUAGCGUAAUCACUUGUCCCCUAAAUAGAGACUAGUAUGAAAGGCAUCACGAGAACUAAACUGUCUCCUCCCCCUAAUCAGUGAACCUAAUAACCCCGUGAAGAAGCGGGGAUCUCAAUAUAAGACGAGAAGACCCUAUGGAGCUUAAAACACUACAUCACCUGCCACCCACUUAUCCACCCUGGCACACUGAUUAUAUGUUUUUGGUUGGGGUGACCGCGGAGAAAAGCCUAUCCCCCGCGAUAAAGGAAUCCUCCACAAACAGUAAGUCACAACUUUAUGUAUCAGAAAACUGACAUUAUUGACCCAAUAUAUUUGAUCAACGAACCAAGUUACCCUAGGGAUAACAGCGCAAUCCACUUCGAGAGCUCCUAUCGACAAGUGGGCUUACGACCUCGAUGUUGGAUCGGGGUAUCCUAGUGGUGUAGCCGCUACU